CAGCAGCCGCGGGAAUACAGAGGGUGCAAGCGUUAAUCGGAAUUACUGGGCGUAAAGCGCGCGUAGGUGGUUCGCCAAGUUGGAUGUGAAAUCCCCGGGCUCAACCUGGGAACUGCAUCCAAAACUGGCGAGCUAGAGUAUGGUAGAGGGUGGUGGAAUUUCCUGUGUAGCGGUGAAAUGCGUAGAUAUAGGAAGGAACAUCAGUGGCGAAGGCGACCACCUGGACUGAUACUGACACUGAGGUGCGAAAGCGUGGGGAGCAAACAGGAUUAGAUACCCCCGUAGUCCCUGUCUCUUAUAC
RNAcentral lists this ribosomal RNA (301 nucleotides) under uncultured bacterium. Its description in RNAcentral is "partial 16S ribosomal RNA". It matches the Rfam family "Bacterial small subunit ribosomal RNA", at positions 509 to 807 of the family's 1533-position model. The record is from RNAcentral.